UACAGCUCUCACUUCCCCACUCAAUCCGUCGACCCUCUCCUUCCUAAUUGCCCCCUUAUUCUUCCCUUAUUUACCACCAUGCCCUCUCCAUAAUAGACAUUUGCAUUUCUCAUAAGGCCAAAACGAAAUAAUUGAUUUUUUUGCUGAAAGGGAGGAGGUUAGGGAAGCUCUUUAACUCGGGCAGUGUCAAGAUGCUGGAGAGGUGCCUCGGGACGCACCGAGUCCUUCGUAUUCACCGAGCGAUUCGCCAGGGAAAGCUUACCCUCCUUUGCCUCUUCAUGACCGUCGUCGUCCUACGUGGCAUCAUCGGCGCCGGUAAAUUUGGUACUCCAGAGCAGGACUUCAAUGAACUCCGCGAUCGUUUCUACGCCUCCCGCAAGCAUGCUGAGCCCCACCGAGUCCUCGUCGAAGC
This 412-nucleotide unclassified non-coding RNA is filed under the name Hevea brasiliensis (rubber tree). Lineage: Eukaryota; Viridiplantae; Streptophyta; Magnoliopsida; Malpighiales; Euphorbiaceae. The record is from RNAcentral.